This 232-nucleotide ribosomal RNA is filed under the name uncultured bacterium. RNAcentral describes it as "partial 16S ribosomal RNA". It matches the Rfam family "Bacterial small subunit ribosomal RNA", at positions 118 to 347 of the family's 1533-position model. The record is from RNAcentral.
UGAGUAACCUGCCCUUAACUCUGGGAUAAGCCUGGGAAACUGGGUCCAAUACCGGAUAUGACUCCUCAUCGCAUGGUGGGGGGUGGAAAGCUUUUUGUGGUUUUGGAUGGACUCGCGGCCUAUCAGCUUGUUGGUGAGGUAAUGGCUCACCAAGGCGACGACGGGUAGCCGGCCUGAGAGGGUGACCGGCCACACUGGGACUGAGGCACGGCCCAGACUCCUACGGGAGCAG